UGGUGGAGCGAUUUGUCUGGUUAAUUCCGAUAACGAACGAGACUCUAGCCUGCUAAAUAGACGGGCGAUCCCCUGUGGGUCGAUCCGAUUUGCUUCUUAGAGGGACAAGUGGCGUUCCUAGCCACGCGAAAUUGAGCAAUAACA
This 144-nucleotide ribosomal RNA is filed under the name uncultured eukaryote. Its description in RNAcentral is "partial 18S ribosomal RNA". It matches the Rfam family "Eukaryotic small subunit ribosomal RNA", at positions 1299 to 1458 of the family's 1831-position model. The record is from RNAcentral.